Long non-coding RNA from Asterias rubens (European starfish), 1264 nucleotides. RefSeq lists it as uncharacterized. The transcript is spliced from 3 exons. The record is from RefSeq and is a predicted model, not a curated record. Lineage: Eukaryota; Metazoa; Echinodermata; Asteroidea; Forcipulatida; Asteriidae.
CAGAGUACGACUGUGGCCGAUCGAGUAAUUCACAAAGAACGAGGGACUGAUAUAUUCUGGACUUUCGCUUGUGCGACGGUAUAGAUUGACGGUUAGUUUCACAACUUCAUUUUCAUCUGUAAAGUUACUGUCCACACCAAAAGCGUCUACUUUGUAGCGAGUGAGCAAAUCAAUUUAUAGAAGAAACUCUUUUCUGGAUGAACAAGGCGACCCUGUUUCGUCUGUGACAGUGCGUACUGAAGGUAUAGAGACAACCGCUGUUUUUCUGGCUGUUUUUUUUUAAACUCUACUCAUCGCCACAUAGAUGUUCAUUUAACACAGCACCAGUGCCCAAUUUCAUAGAGCUGCUUAAGCAAAACAUUAUUGCUUAACAAUUGUCUGCUAAGCAGAACUGAACAGAGCAGUCACAUAGAUGUUCCUUCAACACAGUACCAGUGCAUAAUUUCAUAGAGCUGCUUAAACAGAACAUUAUUGCUUAACGAUUGUCUGCUAAGCAGAAUUGAACAGAACCGUCACAUAGUGUUGCUUCAACACAGCACCAGUGCCCAAUUUCAUAGAGCUGCUAAAGCAAAACAGUACUGCUUAACAAUUGUCUGCUAAGCAGAACUGAACAGAGCAGUCACAUAGCUGCUCCUUCAACACAGCACCAGUGCCCAAUUUCAUAGAGCUGCCUAAGCUGAGCAUCUUGCUUAACAAUUGUCUGCGAAGCAGAACUAAGCAGGAUAUCGAUCACAACUUGUACAUGGUAACCAUAUUCUAGUAAGUGACAUUUUAUUGUGCUGAGCUACUUUGUUGUGCUUAAGCAGCUCUUUGAAAUGUGGGACUGGCCUUAGAACAUCCGCAUAGUACACAACCACUUAUUGUUAAUAUAUUUGAUUGUAACUGGGUAAUAUUGAUAAAUAUUUUGUGAUUUGCAAACACCAAACACGACACUACAAACAAAGACCGUCUGAUUGGGGUUUGAACCACAUGUGUGGACACACUCUUACGAACACCAUUUCUGUAAAUUGAUGGUAAAUUUAUUGUUCUCUGUUAAACCCAUCCUUUUCAAAUUGUUCCCCUGACGAUGACUAGAGCAAGCUAGUCGAAACGUUGAGACUAAUAAGAAUUCACUACGUGGUAGUGUAGUUAAUAACGAUCUUCUAUAAGCUAUAUAGACCCGGUCGAUGUUCAUACCUUACGCUCAGGUAGUAGUUUAAAAGCAAGACAGUUCUUUUCAGAACUAAGAAGUCUCCCAACAAUCCAAAAAUCUACUCCGCAGUGU